UUAGGGGGGUGUCCUUCCAUCUGGAAAGAAUCGUGGAGACGAGGUGCUGCAGUGGCUGUCGUCAGCUCGUGUCGUGAGUGUUGGGGUUAAAGUCCCCGCAACGAGCGCAACCCUUGCCUUUAGUUGCCAGCAGUUCGGCUGGGCACUCUAAAGGGACUGCCGGUGUUAAACCGGAGGAAGGUGGGGAUGACGUCAAGUCCUCAUGGCCUUUAUGACCAGGGCUACACACGUACUACAAUGGCCGAUACAAAGGGCAGCGACACUGCGAGGUGAAGCCAAUCCCGUAAAAUCGGUCUCAGUCCGGAUUGGAGUCUGCAACUCGACUCCAUGAAGUUGGAAUCGCUAGUAAUCGUGGAUCAGCAUGCCACGGUGAAUACGUUCCCGGGCCUU
This 390-nucleotide ribosomal RNA is filed under the name uncultured Desulfobulbus sp. RNAcentral describes it as "bacterial SSU rRNA". It matches the Rfam family "Bacterial small subunit ribosomal RNA", at positions 995 to 1382 of the family's 1533-position model. Lineage: Bacteria; Pseudomonadati; Thermodesulfobacteriota; Desulfobulbia; Desulfobulbales; Desulfobulbaceae. The record is from RNAcentral.